AUGCCGAUUAUAGAUCCUCCUCAACUGGAGUUAACUGGAUGUAACCCCACUGUAAGAAGGUCAGGAGGCAAGAAGCAGAUGGAACUUUCUGUGACUGUUUCCUUUUAUAACUUCCUGGGACCACAUUCUCCCAUUUGUUCACACAAGUGUCAGCUGGGUAUAGCGAUUAAGGAAGCCAAGAUAGAUUUGAGGAUGACCAGAAUGGAGUGGAUGCUGGCCUCUCCCAGAUGAAGAAGCUGCACCCCUGGAGGCUGUCCCCUGACUCCUCAGCCAAUCUCAGCACCACCAUGGAGUGGACAGUGUGAUGGCUUGGCAUCCAAGUCCUUGGACUUCAGGUAAAUUGUUGGUCCUAAGGCCAUGUCCUUAUCUGAAAGUCAGGAGUCAUCAUUUCUGCUUCAUGUUGCUCUUUGUGAACAUAAAGACCUUGCCCGAAAAGAACCCAGCAACCUUUCCCAACCCCAGCUGUCUGAAGAGAGGAGGGUACAGCUUACAUUUCCUUCAAAAACACACACUCCAAUAACAAAGCGCAGAGAAGAUUAGUUCUUUCUUCCCUUUUAGAUUAAUGCAAUAUGCCACUGAAUUACAUUUAAUAUUUGCCCUUUUUGAAUUCCUUUGCUAUUGAUUCCAGAAACUGGUACUUGAAAAAGGCCAUUGAAGGAAAGGGGGGUGUGGCAGGAAGCACAAAAUUUAAUCAAAUUUCCUUCAGAGCUUUCUGCAUUGGAGAGGGUUUGCUCAUUUCUGCUGCCAUCACAGUUCUUUCUUUUUUUCCCUCCAUGGUAAAUGAGAUCUUUUCUUCUCUCUUCUAAAUGUUUACACUUUUGUCAGAAGUCAUUGCCCUCAUGAUUGGUCGGUGUAUCUGGAAUUAGAGUCAUAGUGUCAGAGGAAACUUUAGAGGCCACUGCACAUGGAAAGAAUGUUUCCUGUAGCUGUUCUGAGGGCCGAGCCUUGGCCUCUUAUUGCUUCUGGGGUUGGGGACCUCACUACUUGUAGAAAAAGCAGGAUUUUGAAUUUGUUUUACAGACCUGGAGAGCCAGGAGUUCAACUCCAUUACAAUUGGCUGGACAACCUUGGGCAAAAUUUGUCACUUUUCUGUGCCUCAGUUUUUUCGUUGCAAAAUGUGUCAUUCUCUUAAUUGUAUGUUCCUCAUAAGAUUGUUAUGAGGGUUAAAUGAAAAUUUGGGCAAGUGCCAAGUACAGUACUUUAUGCAUAAUAUGGGUCAAUACAACUUCGUUAUUGUGAUUAUCGUAAAUGAGUUAUUUGUCCACAGAGCAAGUGGGAGAGCUGUACUGAAACCCGUGCCUCCAGAUUUCUGGCUUAUGGACACGACUUAGCCCCACCCUAAUAAGGACAGUUGUUUUCCCAGGAAGAAUGAACAUCGAAAUAGCUGGUUGUGGUUCCAUAAUGAAAUGCUAGUAAUUAAAAGCUACAGCACUCAGCUACAGCCCCCCACGAUUACUGGGUUACUUUUAAGUAUUCUUUUGCAGAGAUGGAUGGGAUUGUCAUGUUUCCACUUCACGUAUGGAAACUGAUUACAGGAGUGCUCAAGAGCCUGGACUGCCUCCAACUGUGGGGUGCAGGCUUUGAUGAGGGUACUAAUUAGGAGCUCAAUGUCUUGGGGAGCUUAAAAAUAACACACCCAGCCCAUUGACAAGGCCUCAGGGUAGUCUUAAUUCUUAACUGCUGCUGCAGGAAGUAAUGUCUGGCUUAUGUUACACACACAGACACACACACACACAAACACACAAACAAACACACACCCUGCUCACCAAUAUUCUUCUCUCUUUCUUGCCCAGUUUAAAAAGAAAAACCAUAGGUAUUUUGCUUGUGGAAGUGCUAGGGAAAUUUGUUCAUUAUAAUGGCUGAGGCAAAAUUUCUUUUGCCUGAAGGUACCCCCAGCUCCCAGAACAUGGAAGACACCUGAUUAAGUGUCCUUUGAUUUGAGAAACCAAAGUGCUAAGUUAGGUGCUAGGUUUCCCUCAGAUCAGAUGGGACUAGGAGCUUUCUCUGGGGGGAACUUACUUUUCUUCUUCUUUUUUUUUUUUUUGAGAUGGAGUUUCGCUCUUGUUACCCAGGCUGGAGUGCAAUGGCACAAGCUCAGCUCACCGCAACCUCUGCCUCCUGGGUUCAGGCAAUUCUCCUGUCUCAGCCUCCUGAGUAGCCGGGAUUACAAGCACGU
Molecule: long non-coding RNA, 2176 nt
Organism: Callithrix jacchus (white-tufted-ear marmoset)
Lineage: Eukaryota; Metazoa; Chordata; Mammalia; Primates; Cebidae
Source: Ensembl